GACGAACGCUGGCGGCGCGCCUAACACAUGCAAGUCGAACGGAGUCAAGAGGAGCUUGCUUUUCUUGACUUAGUGGCGAACGGGUGAGUAACGCGUGAGUAACCUGCCCUGGAGUGGGGGACAACAGUUGGAAACGACUGCUAAUACCGCAUAAGCCCACGGAUCUGCAUGGAUCUGCGGGAAAAGGAUUUAUUCGCUCUAGGAUGGACUCGCGUCCAAUUAGCUAGUUGGUGAGGUAACGGCCCACCAAGGCGACGAUUGGUAGCCGGACUGAGAGGUUGAACGGCCACAUUGGGACUGAGACACGGCCCAGACUCCUAUGGGAGGCAGCAGUGGGGGAUAUUGCACAAUGGGGGAAACCCUGAUGCAGCGACGCCGCGUGGAGGAAGAAGGUUUUCGGAUUGUAAACUCCUGUCGUUAGGGACGAUAAUGACGGUACCUAACAAGAAAGCACCAGCUAACUACGUG
This 468-nucleotide ribosomal RNA is filed under the name uncultured bacterium. RNAcentral's name for it is "partial 16S ribosomal RNA". It matches the Rfam family "Bacterial small subunit ribosomal RNA", at positions 28 to 507 of the family's 1533-position model. The record is from RNAcentral.